GACGAACGCUGGCGGCGUGCUUAACACAUGCAAGUCGAACGGAAAGGCCCUGCUUUUGUGGGUUUCUCGAGUGGCGAGCGGGUGAGUGACACGUGAGUAACCUCCCCUUGACUUUGGGAUAUCUUCAGGAAACUCCGGCUCAUACCGGGUAUAAUCUCCUGCUGCAUGUUGUUCGUUGGUAAAAUUCGGCGGUUGGGGCUGGAUUCGCGGCUUAUGAGCUUGUUUGGGGGGUAGUUGCUGACCAAGGCUUUGACGGGUAGCCGGCCUGGGAGGGGGACCGGCCACAUUGGGACUGAGGUAGGGCCCAGACGCCUACGGGAGGCAGCAGGCGGGAGUAUUGCACAAUGGGCGGAAGCCUGAUGCAGAAGCGCCGCGUGCGGGAUGACGGGUUUCGGGUUGUAAACAACUGUCGCAUGUGACGAAGCGUGAGUGACGGUAAUGGGUAAAAAAGCAACGGCUAACUACGUG
RNAcentral lists this ribosomal RNA (468 nucleotides) under uncultured bacterium. RNAcentral's name for it is "partial 16S ribosomal RNA". It matches the Rfam family "Bacterial small subunit ribosomal RNA", at positions 28 to 507 of the family's 1533-position model. The record is from RNAcentral.